RNAcentral lists this ribosomal RNA (209 nucleotides) under uncultured bacterium. Its description in RNAcentral is "partial 16S ribosomal RNA". It matches the Rfam family "Bacterial small subunit ribosomal RNA", at positions 568 to 774 of the family's 1533-position model. The record is from RNAcentral.
CAUGUAGGCGGAUAUGCAAGCUUGGUGUGAAAGGCAGGGGCUUAACUCCUGGACUGCGUUGAGAACUGCAUAACUAGAGUAACUGAGGGGGCAACCGGAAUUCCAGGGUGUAGGGGUGAAAUCCGUAGAUAUCUGGAAGAACACCAAUGGCGAAGGCAGGUUACCAGCAGAUUACUGACGCUGAGGUGCGAAGGUGCGGGGAGCAAACA